Molecule: long non-coding RNA, 898 nt
Filed under: Gallus gallus (chicken)
Lineage: Eukaryota; Metazoa; Chordata; Aves; Galliformes; Phasianidae
Source: RNAcentral
GGAAACUAUAAUACAAAAAAAAAGUCAAAGUGUUUCAAACAGUCAAAGGCACAUUAGAUUUAAGACUUUGGGUUAUGCGUCUGAGGCUUUUUGAUCAGUUUUCUCAUCAUUUUUCUGCGGAGUAGACUUCUUGACUUGUUGAUGGUUGGUUUCUGACUCCCUGCUUUUCUACAGACAUUGUAGCAAUCUACUUCAGUAACGAAGUUAUUGGCAUUUCCACCACAGCCAGUGUACUUGAACUCCUUGCAUGAUUUACUCGUGGUAUCAUAGUAAUAACGGGGCACAGAAGAGGAACACAAUCCUUCAUCCUUUGGGCUAUAGCAUAACAAGGGACCAGUUUUCUCUGGCAGACAGUGAUCCACACAGGACUGCAGGUCCUUGAAGUUGUUGCCGUUCCCGUAGCAGCCCCCGUAGAUGAACUCCUCACACCUCAUUGAACUCAAGUUGAAGGCAUAUCUUCUUAUGUAUCCUCGGCAGGGCCCUGUGUCAGCCUCCAUUCGGCAGAGUUUGGGCACUUUCUUGAUGGUCCAGCAGUUCUUCUCGCAGUCGUCGUGGCUGAGGAAGUUGUUGGCGUUGCCGUGGCAGCCGCCGUAGCUGAACUCCUGGCAGCUCUGCGUGUACCUAUCGUAGUACCAGCGCGGUACCAGGGCGCGGCACGGCCCGUCGUCGGGGGGCAGCAGGCAGGCGCGCUGCUUCUCUGUGAGGCCGCGCGGCGCCAGGGCGGCACAGGCCAGCGGCAGCAGCAGCGCGGGCAGCGGGAGGCGGCGGCCAGCGGCCAUGUCGCGGCGGCGGGCGAGAGGGACGGCUAGCAGCAGGGUCCCAGGAGCGGUCAGCGCUGCCCGGCCCGACGGCAGCGCUUUAUAUGCGCCGACACGGCUUCCCCGGGCCGCCUCCCUCC